This 254-nucleotide ribosomal RNA is filed under the name uncultured bacterium. RNAcentral describes it as "partial 16S ribosomal RNA". It matches the Rfam family "Bacterial small subunit ribosomal RNA", at positions 524 to 776 of the family's 1533-position model. The record is from RNAcentral.
UACGAGUACCCCGAGCGUUAUCCGGAAUCAUUGGGCGUAAAGGGUGUGUAGGUGGUCUGGUUAGUCUUCUGUUAAAAUCUUGGGCUUAACCCAAGACUUGCAGUGGAAACGGCCAGACUCGAGGAUGCGAGAGGUGAAUGGAACUCAUGGAGUAGGGGUGAAAUCCGUUGAUAUCAUGGGGAACACCAAAAGCGAAGGCAAUUCACUGGCGCAUUUCCUGACACUGAGACACGAAAGCGUGGGUAGCGAACGGG